RNAcentral lists this long non-coding RNA (5827 nucleotides) under Sus scrofa (pig). RNAcentral's name for it is "lncRNA (ENSSSCG00005043696.1)". The record is from RNAcentral. Lineage: Eukaryota; Metazoa; Chordata; Mammalia; Artiodactyla; Suidae.
CCACACCUGCUCCUAGGUUUACUGUUUCAUUGUCUUCAUUAGCAUACAUUUACUGCUCCAGGAGAUGCUCGACUGGCAGGGCCCCAGGCAGUAACUUGAUGCUUCAAACAAUUCUUCAGUCUUCAGUAGGAGCUUCAACACACAAUGACUGCUCAAAGACUCUCCUAAAUCCUCCUCUCAAACCCGAGACCCUGGACGGCCCGUCGCUCAGGGCCGGGUGCCACCGACUGGCACGGCAUCCGCUCCGCAGCAUCCUCAUGCUGAUCAGGUAUGGAAAAACUCCUUUGAAAUCGUCUAAAAUCUUCCUGAGGUUUAACAAAGGGUUUUACAACCACUCUCUAGAUUCGAUCUUUGCCCUCAAGCCGUUUCUCUUUGGAAAUUGUUUUCUGGCUGCGAUUGGAAAGGAGAAUCAGUUUUACUUUUGAAUCUAGCAAUUCCUGGCUCCUUUUUACUUUUCCUUCAAGUCUGCUGAAAAACUUAAUAGUUUGGCCUUCAAUUCAUUUUUCUUUCCUGGUAUUUUAUUAUUUGCAGAAUACCAGCGCUUCUGAUAUUCUGUCUGGAAAUCUCCUUAGACUUGCCACUCUACUGUAGCCAAGCAGGACCCUCCGGGGCCUCCCUGGGGCGGGCCCUUGCCCCUCCCGCUGCUUUGGCUCCUCUCUGCAGGACCCAGAUGACAUUGGCUGAGUUGUUCCACACACGUGAAGAAUCUCCUCCACCAGGUGGAAGGUGUUAGCUGCCUGAUAACCACGGGUACAGAACCCCGCUCCUCCCAGAGCCUAAGGACUAAUGACAUCAGUUCCUGUGACAGGGUCCUGUGGCCUCCUCAUCAGCUAAGAUGAUGGUGCACAAGCUCCUCACUUACCCUGGGACACCCCCGCCCCAAAUCUGGCUUUUAAAAAUGCUUCACAAUUUUGUUCAGGGAGUUCGGGCUCUUUGAGGGCCUGGCCUGCGGUGACCCUGUCUCUGCGCCUAACUCCGACAUUUGGGUUUGCUCGGCCUCACUCUGAUGGGCACACGAACGUGGGCUCCCGUUAGUGGCAUGUUUUCUAUUUUCCACAUUGUCCCAAGGUAAAGUUUUAUUAACUGUCCUGCCCAUACUGCAUUUGGAUGUCCUUUUGUCCAGCAUUCAAUAUCAUUUUCCUCACCAUCUAGUUAAAAAAAAAAAAUAGAAAAAAACUUGAGCUGAGUAAAUCUGAAGUCCUAACUGUUAUUUUUCAUUCUUUCAUGAAGGGGGCAGCAUCCCAAGCAGCAACUAGAAGGGCACUCCAGCGGUUAUUCAAAAGAAAAGUUUUCGUAGGAAGCAGGGUGGGGCAAGGGAGCUAUCAGCAAAAGAAAAGAGUUAUUUUUAGGCCAGGAGAUCUUUUUUUGGAGGAAGGGACUAGCCCGGGUCUUUCCUGCCCCAUUGUCUCUUCUUCCUCCGCAGGGGUGAGCAGGAGGGGGCCCACUGGGCAGAUGACCUCGGCGAACUUGAAGAAAAGUGCCCAGGGCGAGAGCUGUGAGGUUUGCCAUUUAGGGUCUCACUGGGGACCAUAGCCUGGGAGACAGCCACUCAGAAACUCUGAGUCUCCAAACAGGUGGGGGAGAAGCCAGUGUGUGUAGGAAUUUGGGACUCGGAGAACAUGUGGUCAGGCCUACAUCUUGUAAACGGUUGCUGCUCUUACUAAAAAAAUGCAUCCUGAGAGUUGACAGUUAAGUUUUGUUUGGGGUGACAUUGGGCCUUAAGCCUGGGAGACAGCAUCUCAGGUAGCCCCGAGAAACUGCUCCAAGGAGGCGAGGGGAGAAGCAAGGAUACAUGAGUUUUGGCAACGAAGGGGAAGUAGUAGGAACAAAAGAUUUGCAGAUGACCCCGUGUACAGAAGAUGUGCAGAAAACCGUCUCUGCGGGAAGACGGAAAGGUCCGGGCUCCCUGGAGUCUCCCCUUUGGUAUGCUUUCUGCGUUCCCUCUUGGGAGUGGCCAUCCUCACGGGUGACCACGCCAUCUUUUGUUUUGCCCACUAACUGCAGCCCAGGGGGCAGCGUUUCCCGAAGCUCUGAAGUGCCGCCCCAGGGAGGAAAGAGGGAGUAUAAACCUGAGUCCCGAAGGUGAAGGGAGGCGCCUGCAGCCGCGCACUCGUUUCAUAGAGGUUUCCUGCUGGUCUCGUCAAGGUAACGACUAGUCACGGACAGCAGUCCUCAUUGACGGAGUUUAGUGUUUUUCCAGAUAUGAGGAGAUGCAAGAAGUGGGCUCAUAAAAUCUUCCCCUGAAAAUGUCUGAGAUCUGAAGCCCAUUCUUCCGGUUGUCCCAGAGCCCAGGCGGCCUCGCUCCGGGUCUCCACCCCGAGCUCCGCUCCGCGCUGCUGCAGGUUGGCAGCUGCAGUGGCUGGUGUUCUACUCCGUGCAGAGGCUGAGGGCGAGGGCCAAACUUCAGCUCACAGAGCGGAUCAUAAAGAUUCGGUGUCUCAGGUGAAUGAUCUUGAAGUGGCACAUCUCAGAUUGAGACGCAGGCCCAGGUGCUGGGACUCGAACCCUCUGGCUGGGCUCAAGCCUGUAGAAAACCAGAGUGGGACUCGAACCCACCCUUUUUUUUCUGGUCUUUUUGCCUUUUCUAGGGCCACUCCCACGGCACAUGGAGGUUCCCAGGCUAGGGGGUGGCAAUGCUGGAUCCUUAACCCACUGAGCAAGGCCAGGGAUCGAGCCUGCAACCUCAUGGUUCCUAGUCGGAUACGCUAACCACUGCGCCACGACAGGAACUCCAACCCACCAUUUUUUUAUUAUUAUUUUUUAUUAAAAUCACACACCUGGCUCCAGGACUGACUGAAAGUUCAGGUCCUUUAUGUCUCCGUGCAGAAGAAAUUCAGCAAGAGGCAAAGGGAUAGGUAAGAAGCAGAUUUAUUGAGAGAUUGGUAAAGUGUGGCCCAUCCCAAAAGGCAAGUGAGUGGCCCUGGGAGAAACACACCCACAGAGAGUGGGCGUCUGGGGUGAGAGGCGAGAGCCCCGAAAUAUGGGGUGGUGGGUUUUCAUGGGCUGGGCAAUUUCAGAGGCUAAUGAGUGGGAGGAUAAUUCCAACUAUUUCUGGGGAGGGAUGGGGGUUCCUGGAAUUGGGCCCCUUUUUGGCCUUUUUUAUGUUGGGCCAGAAUCACCAGGACCCCUGUGGGUGUGUCAUUCAGCUCAGGUGUUACAGUGAGAGUAUAACCAGAGUUCCCCUGGACUCAAAUCACGCUACAUCUCGGACCUAGCUGGUUCUCCAGUUUUUGUCACAUCCUCAAGCACCGUGUCAUUCUUUUAGGCUUGUGCUUUGUCCCCUUCGGUCCCAUUUUAAUUUUAGCGCGUUUCUGUGUAAGGGAAGAUGCAAGAAUCCAGGGCCAUUGAAAGUCCUGAGACACGCAUCUGACUUACACAAGGGCCCCUUUACCCAAAGCACUGAAUGCCUCAUCCUGUUUUUUCCGUCCAGAGUGCCCCUCAGGGUGCCCUGUGGCAACAACCCUUGUGUAACUGGAUGAGGAGUGGCACUCUUUGUUCUUUUUGUGUUUAAAACUCCUACGUGCUGACCAGAACAUUCCAACCUGGCCAAGAUUUCUGGUGAAGUCAAAGCUGCCAUUACGUUAGUAUUAAAUCUAGGAUUCUUGUCAUGGACUUUAGCUCAGCCUGUGGUUUUCUCUUUAUAUCAACCAUCUCCUUAUACCCUCCAAGCUCUCACUAGCAGUGUCCUCACUCAAGACAUCUUUCGGUUUCUGCCCUUUGCUCCCAUCCUAGAAUCAAUGCCAACUUUUAGCGUUUCAUUAUGGUUGCAUUGAUGGUGUGAUAUUUCAAUUUAGAAUGGAAAGAUUGAGUGCAGUCUUAUUUCUAUAGGGCCAAUUGUGUGUGUGUGUGUGUGUGUGUGUGUGUGUGUGUGUGUGUUGGACUGUGGCUUUCCAGAAGCUUCUGCAAAGGCACUGGUGGGAGGAAGACCCAUUUGAUAAAAGGAAAGAAACCUAUUAAUAUCUAUUCAGCAAGAGUCGUUGAGUGACUUCCAUGUACUGGGCACUGUGGCAGGUGCUGGAACAUAAAGACAUUGUAUGAGAGAGACUAAUAUUGUGGGGGAACAGAGUUUGCCACCCCAAAAUAUAGCUCUUUGGCAUAUGAAUUAUGUAAGCUAUUGAAGUUAUUUUCUAAGAAACGGUGGAGAGGGGAAAAACUGUGAAAACCCAGUAGGAGUUACCCUUAUAUAAAAACAUCUACCUUUGUAAGGGAAAUCUCCUUUCUAAGGGGGCCUCCCUGGCUGUACCUGGAAGAAGAUGACCAAAUUUCUAACAACUCUUGGACCAGAGAAGGCAAGGAUUUAAAUCUGCACAUUAACCCUACCCUUGUUGACUGUGCUUUUCCUGGUCACCUCAGCAGCCUCUUCUUCAGCUGCGGAUGGUAUUUAAGAUGAGGGCUUUGGCCAUUUUGAUGGUCACUCAAGUUGUCUCGGGUCUCUCCCAUGUGUAUAGGUUACCAAACUUUUGUCUGGUUUUCUCCUGUUCAUCUGUAUCAUGUCAACGUAAAUCUUAGACCAGGCGGAAGAAUUUAGAAGCGCAGAAGACACGUCUUCUUCCCCGACACUACUACACAAAUAAGUAAGCACACAAUAAAAAUGUAGUUAUUAUCGCCUUAACUGUUGCAAAGGAAAAGCACAGGGUACCUCGGCUUUGUAACAGGCGGACCUUACCUAAACUGGAGGGGACGGAGGGGACGAGAAUGGCAUGGGCAAGGCCAGGGAAGCCCUGCCGAAAAGGCAACAUUCGAAUAGAGCCUUGAAGGCCAACCGGCGUUAGCCAGGCCCAACUGCACAGGGUGGAACCAUCCAGGUGGAAGAAACAAGAAAGAAACAAAGCAUCUGGACGUGAAGGGAGCUCUGAGGUCGUUCCGGGAAAGGAAGCGGACUGGAGAGGCAGGGGGAGGCGUGAGGGAAGAGGAAGGCGGACGCCCGACCGCGUGGUCUGGAGGUUCACAAAGAAUUCCAACAUCGCCUCCUGGUGAUGCUCGGCGGCCAGUGAGGCGUGAAGCAAAGCAGUGACAUGGACAUGCUUGUGUUUUAGAACCUCUUUCUGGGAAUUCCGACGUGGCUCAGUGGUAACAAAUCCGACUAGUAUCCAUGAGGACGUGAGUUCAAUCCCUGGCCUCGCUCAGUGGGCUGAGGAUCCGGCAUUGCCGUGACCUGUGGUGUAGGUUGCAGAUGUGGCUCAGAUCUGGCGUGGCUGUGGUUGUGGUGUAGGCAGGCAGCUGCAGCUCUGAUUCAACCCUUAGCCUGGGAACUUCCAUAUGCCGCAGGUGCGACCCUAAAAAUAAGUAAAUAAGUAAAAUAAAAUGUCUCUCUGGCUGCUGAGCAGAUAGUGGAUGGGAAGGUUUCAAGAGUGGAAACAGGCAAGGAAGGGGCACUUUGUACAGCCCAGGUGAGAGUGACAUGGCCUGGACUAGGACAGUGGCUGUGGGAAUGCAGCAGUGGGAAUGACUCUACCCAUGUUUCCGAAAUCAAGUUGCAGGCCUUGGUAAUGGACUGUGUGUGUGUGUGUGUGUGUGUGUGUGUGGUUGGGGGAGGGUCGUUGGAGAGAGAGGUGUGGAGGAUGAACCCAUAUUCCUGAUUGCAGCAGAAUGGAUAGGGGUUCUGUUUUCUGAGAUGUGGAACAAUGAAAGGGACGAUUUUGGGGACGAAACCAACCAAAGAUUUUGGGAUGAGUGACGUUUGAGAUGCCUGUGUGACAGCAAAGUCGAGGACAUAGCUGGGUCAUGUAGGUCAGGCUCAGAGUGCAGGUCUGAAUUAGGGGACAGAGCUAUAGGGCACAGCUAGAGAGGAAUGCAUGAUUCGGGGAGGGUUUUCUUUUUUUUUUUU